GAACGCCGGCGGCGUGCUAAUACAUGCAAGUAGAACGCUGAAGAGAGGNCUUGCUCUUCUUGGAUGAGUUGCGAACGGGUGAGUAACGCGUAGGUAACCUGCCUUGUAGCGGGGGAUAACUAUUGGAAACGAUAGCUAAUACCGCAUAACAAUGGAUGACACAUGUCAUUUAUUUGAAAGGGGCAAUUGCUCCACUACAAGAUGGACCUGCGUUGUAUUAGCUAGUAGGUGAGGUAACGGCUCACCUAGGCGACGAUACAUAGCCGACCUGAGAGGGUGAUCGGCCACACUGGGACUGAGACACGGCCCAGACUCCUACGGGAGGCAGCAGUAGGGAAUCUUCGGUAAUGGGGGCAACCCUGACCGAGCAACGCCGCGUGAGUGAAGAAGGUUUUCGGAUCGUAAAGCUCUGUUGUAAGUCAAGAACGAGUGUGAGAGUGGAAAGUUCACACUGUGACGGUAGCUUACCAGAAAGGGACGGCUAACUACGUGCCAGCAGCCGCGGUAAUACGUAGGUCCCGAGCGUUGUCCGGAUUUAUUGGGCGUAAAGCGAGCGCAGGCGGUUUGAUAAGUCUGAAGUUAAAGGCUGUGGCUCAACCAUAGUUCGCUUUGGAAACUGUCAAACUUGAGUGCAGAAGGGGAGAGUGGAAUUCCAUGUGUAGCGGUGAAAUGCGUAGAUAUAUGGAGGAACACCGGUGGCGAAAGCGGCUCUCUGGUCUGUAACUGACGCUGAGGCUCGAAAGCGUGGGGAGCGAACAGGAUUAGAUACCCUGGUAGUCCACGCCGUAAACGAUGAGUGCUAGGUGUUGGAUCCUUUCCGGGAUUCAGUGCCGCAGCUAACGCAUUAAGCACUC
This 854-nucleotide ribosomal RNA is filed under the name uncultured Streptococcus sp. RNAcentral describes it as "bacterial SSU rRNA". It matches the Rfam family "Bacterial small subunit ribosomal RNA", at positions 31 to 869 of the family's 1533-position model. The record is from RNAcentral. Lineage: Bacteria; Bacillati; Bacillota; Bacilli; Lactobacillales; Streptococcaceae.